This 844-nucleotide ribosomal RNA is filed under the name Microascus longicollis. Its description in RNAcentral is "eukaryotic LSU rRNA". It matches the Rfam family "Eukaryotic large subunit ribosomal RNA", at positions 68 to 938 of the family's 3401-position model. The record is from RNAcentral. Lineage: Eukaryota; Fungi; Ascomycota; Sordariomycetes; Microascales; Microascaceae.
ACAGGGAUUGCCCCAGUAACGGCGAGUGAAGCGGCAACAGCUCAAAUUUGAAAUCUGGCCCCCUUGCGGGGUCCGAGUUGUAAUUUGAAGAGGAUGCUUCUGGCGAGGCGCCGUCCGAGUUCCCUGGAACGGGACGCCGCAGAGGGUGAGAGCCCCGUACGGUCGGACGCCGAGCCUCUGUGAAGCUCCUUCGACGAGUCGAGUAGUUUGGGAAUGCUGCUCAAAAUGGGAGGUAAACCCCUUCUAAAGCUAAAUACCGGCCAGAGACCGAUAGCGCACAAGUAGAGUGAUCGAAAGAUGAAAAGCACUUUGAAAAGAGAGUUAAAAAGCACGUGAAAUUGUUGAAAGGGAAGCGCUUGCGACCAGACUCGCGCCCGUCGGAUCAGCCGUCGCUCGUCGGCGGCGCACUCCGGCGGGCUCGGGCCAGCAUCGGUUCGCCUCGGGGGGAGAAAGGCGGCGGGAAUGUGGCUCUUCGGAGUGUUAUAGCCCACCGCGUAAUACCCCCGGGCGGACCGAGGACCGCGCGUAUGCAAGGAUGCUGGCGUAAUGGUCGUCAGCGACCCGUCUUGAAACACGGACCAAGGAGUCGUCCUAAUAUGCGAGUGUUCGGGUGUCAAACCCCUGCGCGUAAUGAAAGUGAACGGAGGUGAGAGCUUCGGCGCAUCAUCGACCGAUCCUGAUGUUCUCGGAUGGAUUUGAGUAAGAGCAUAUUGGGCCGGACCCGAAAGAAGGUGAACUAUGCCUGUAUAGGGUAAAGCCAGAGGAAACUCUGGUGGAGGCUCGCAGCGGUUCUGACGUGCAAAUCGAUCGUCAAAUAUGGGCAUGGGGGCGAAAGACUAAUCGA